This 253-nucleotide ribosomal RNA is filed under the name uncultured bacterium. RNAcentral's name for it is "partial 16S ribosomal RNA". It matches the Rfam family "Bacterial small subunit ribosomal RNA", at positions 524 to 776 of the family's 1533-position model. The record is from RNAcentral.
UACGUAGGGUGCAAGCGUUAAUCGGAAUUACUGGGCGUAAAGCGUGCGCAGGCGGUUUUUUAAGUCCGUUGUGAAAUCCCCGGGCUUAACCUGGGAACUGCGUUUGAAACUACAAGGCUAGAGUGUAGCAGAGGGGGGUGGAAUUCCACGUGUAGCAGUGAAAUGCGUAGAGAUGUGGAGGAACACCGAUGGCGAAGGCAGCCCCCUGGGCUAACACUGACGCUCAUGCACGAAAGCGUGGGGAGCAAACAGG